RNAcentral lists this ribosomal RNA (1913 nucleotides) under Staphylococcus aureus. Its description in RNAcentral is "partial 23S ribosomal RNA". It matches the Rfam family "Bacterial large subunit ribosomal RNA", at positions 1008 to 2925 of the family's 2925-position model. The record is from RNAcentral. Lineage: Bacteria; Bacillati; Bacillota; Bacilli; Caryophanales; Staphylococcaceae.
UGUUCGAAAGGGAAACAGCCCAGACCACCAGCUAAGGUCCCAAAAUAUAUGUUAAGUGGAAAAGGAUGUGGCGUUGCCCAGACAACUAGGAUGUUGGCUUAGAAGCAGCCAUCAUUUAAAGAGUGCGUAAUAGCUCACUAGUCGAGUGACACUGCGCCGAAAAUGUACCGGGGCUAAACAUAUUACCGAAGCUGUGGAUUGUCCUUUGGACAAUGGUAGGAGAGCGUUCUAAGGGCGUUGAAGCAUGAUCGUAAGGACAUGUGGAGCGCUUAGAAGUGAGGAUGCCGGUGUGAGUAGCGAAAGACGGGUGAGAAUCCCGUCCACCGAUUGACUAAGGUUUCCAGAGGAAGGCUCGUCCGCUCUGGGUUAGUCGGGUCCUAAGCUGAGGCCGACAGGCGUAGGCGAUGGAUAACAGGUUGAUAUUCCUGUACCACCUAUAAUCGUUUUAAUCGAUGGGGGGACGCAGUAGGAUAGGCGAAGCGUGCGAUUGGAUUGCACGUCUAAGCAGUAAGGCUGAGUAUUAGGCAAAUCCGGUACUCGUUAAGGCUGAGCUGUGAUGGGGAGAAGACAUUGUGUCUUCGAGUCGUUGAUUUCACACUGCCGAGAAAAGCCUCUAGAUAGAAAAUAGGUGCCCGUACCGCAAACCGACACAGGUAGUCAAGAUGAGAAUUCUAAGGUGAGCGAGCGAACUCUCGUUAAGGAACUCGGCAAAAUGACCCCGUAACUUCGGGAGAAGGGGUGCUCUUUAGGGUUAACGCCCAGAAGAGCCGCAGUGAAUAGGCCCAAGCGACUGUUUAUCAAAAACACAGGUCUCUGCUAAACCGUAAGGUGAUGUAUAGGGGCUGACGCCUGCCCGGUGCUGGAAGGUUAAGAGGAGUGGUUAGCUUCUGCGAAGCUACGAAUCGAAGCCCCAGUAAACGGCGGCCGUAACUAUAACGGUCCUAAGGUAGCGAAAUUCCUUGUCGGGUAAGUUCCGACCCGCACGAAAGGCGUAACGAUUUGGGCACUGUCUCAACGAGAGACUCGGUGAAAUCAUAGUACCUGUGAAGAUGCAGGUUACCCGCGACAGGACGGAAAGACCCCGUGGAGCUUUACUGUAGCCUGAUAUUGAAAUUCGGCACAGCUUGUACAGGAUAGGUAGGAGCCUUUGAAACGUGAGCGCUAGCUUACGUGGAGGCGCUGGUGGGAUACUACCCUAGCUGUGUUGGCUUUCUAACCCGCACCACUUAUCGUGGUGGGAGACAGUGUCAGGCGGGCAGUUUGACUGGGGCGGUCGCCUCCUAAAAGGUAACGGAGGCGCUCAAAGGUUCCCUCAGAAUGGUUGGAAAUCAUUCAUAGAGUGUAAAGGCAUAAGGGAGCUUGACUGCGAGACCUACAAGUCGAGCAGGGUCGAAAGACGGACUUAGUGAUCCGGUGGUUCCGCAUGGAAGGGCCAUCGCUCAACGGAUAAAAGCUACCCCGGGGAUAACAGGCUUAUCUCCCCCAAGAGUUCACAUCGACGGGGAGGUUUGGCACCUCGAUGUCGGCUCAUCGCAUCCUGGGGCUGUAGUCGGUCCCAAGGGUUGGGCUGUUCGCCCAUUAAAGCGGUACGCGAGCUGGGUUCAGAACGUCGUGAGACAGUUCGGUCCCUAUCCGUCGUGGGCGUAGGAAAUUUGAGAGGAGCUGUCCUUAGUACGAGAGGACCGGGAUGGACAUACCUCUGGUGUACCAGUUGUCGUGCCAACGGCAUAGCUGGGUAGCUAUGUGUGGACGGGAUAAGUGCUGAAAGCAUCUAAGCAUGAAGCCCCCCUCAAGAUGAGAUUUCCCAACUUCGGUUAUAAGAUCCCUCAAAGAUGAUGAGGUUAAUAGGUUCGAGGUGGAAGCAUGGUGACAUGUGGAGCUGACGAAUACUAAUCGAUCGAAGACUUAAUCAA